CCAAUCAGGAAAUCGAAUAUGACAACCGCCAAUCAGCAAUCUCUCAUUGUUAAAUAUUGGAAAGUGUGGGUCCCAGAUAGAAAAACAACCAGCCAAUUUCUCCACCCUCCUCCAUACCAAAAGUAAAUAUGAAAUCAUGGGACCAAAUUUCAAACGGCAUUGAUGGGGUGAGAUUUUUGCAUACAAAAUAUUAGUAAAAGAAUAUGGAGCUAUCAUCCGUUCCUCUAAAGUUCGCCAAGAGACUUGAGCAUCAGGGUGAAACCAGGAUAGAAGAGGUCUAAGUGUGAAGGCCCACUCAUAGAACUUAAAAUUUGGGAGAGACAGGCCACCAGCCUGCCUUUCUCGCUGCAUGGUGGUGAGCUUAAUACGAGGUCGUUUGCCAUGCCACAGAAAUUUACUUAUUGCUGAGUGCAAUUUGCCCCAAUAUUUAGGGGGUGGGGGAAGGGGGAGCAUUGAGCUGACAAAAUUGAUUCUGGGCAGAACAUUCAUUUUAAUUAUGGCUACCCUGCCACGGAGCGAAUUUGGAAGGUUAGACCACCUGUCCAGAUCCGCCACCACUUUGUUAAGUGUUUUAGAAAAAUUGUUUUUAAUAAUUGUCUGUAUGGAGGAAUAGAUGUCUAUCCCCAGAUAAGUGAAGUUAUUAGUAACUGGAAUAGAUGCAGGGAUGGGAGUAUUGCACAUUGCCUGAUUUAAGGGUAGUAAAGCUGAUUUCUGCCAGUUAAUUUUGAAGCCAGAGAGCUUGCCAUAAAGAUCGAAGGUAGACAAAAUAUGUGGGAUACAUUGCACUGGGUUAUUUAUAUACAAUAAAAUAUCAUCAGCAUAAAGUGAAACAUGGUGGUGUGUACCUCUAAUGGAAAUUGGAGAGAUUGUGGGAGAACCACGGAUAGCUUGUGCCAGUGGCUCAAGAGAAAGGGCGAAUAACAGAGGGCUAAGAGGACAUCCUUGUCUUGAUCCUCUCAAGACAGCAAAUGGGGAGGAGCUAAUUUUGCCCGUAAGUACUACAGCUGUUGGGUUUUUAUACAGGACCUUAAUCAUAUUAAUAAACGGCAAACCAACCCCCAUAACCUUUAGCACUGCCCACAGAAAUGGCCACUCCAGGCGGUCAAAGGCCUUCAUUGCAUCUAGUGAAAGGACAGCAGCAGGGGAAUUUAAAUCUUGAGCAUCAUGUAUAAUGUGUAAUAGUCUUCUAACAUUAUCUGUAGCAAGUCUAGACUUUAUAAACCCAGUUUGAUCACUAUGUACCAGUUCUGUCAUAUGGCCUUGAAGCCGACGGGCCAGUAAUUUUGCGUAAAUCUUUAAAUCUGCAUUUAAAAGCGAAAGAGGCCUGUAGCUGGCGCAAUCAGCUGGAUCCUUUCCUUUUUUAAGAAGCAGUGAAAUUAAUGCAGAAUUAACAUCCCUAGAAAAUGAUCCCUCUCUAACAGAAUAUAAAAUCAUCUCCAGUAAAAGCGGGCCAAUCUGGGGCCAAAAAGUAAGAUAAAAUUCGGGUGGUAUUCCGUCUGGACCUGGUGAUCUACCUUUACGCAUGUCCCUAGCAGCUGUCUCGCACUCCUGUAAUGUGAUUGGUUGAUCUAAUUUUAUGGCGUCAUCAUUACUGAGAUGAGAUAGUUUAACAUCUUUCAGGAAAUUAUUGCAGACAUCUUUAUCAAAAUUAUUUUCCGAAUUAUAUAACUCCUGAUAGAAGGAGGCAAAAACAGCAUUUACUUUCUUUGGGUCACAUUGUAUAGUGUUAUUUUUGUCUUUAAUGCAAAAGAUAUCAGCAAAGUGCUCAUCCGUCCGAAGUUUCAUUGCCAGUAAGCGACUGGGUUUUGAGGAGUUAAAAUAAUAAGUUUGUCUGGUUUUGUGCAUGAGGAAUUCUGAACGACGCCUCAGAAGAGAGUUAAUCUCUUUUUUGAUCAAUUCCUUUUGUAGGGCUGUGUAAUCAUUAAAAUUAUGUUGCAGGGAAGCAUCAAGGGACGUAUAUUUUAAUUCUAAAGCUUCCAAUUUAGCUGCAUGAGCUUUGUUUUGUGUUGAGGCAUAUAAAGUGGUAUUACUCCUUAUAAAGCCUUUUAUGGCCUCCCAAAGAAUCCUUGGAUCGAGAACAGAGCCAACAUUAAAGUCCAAAAAUUCACUAAAAUUUGUUUCAAACUGAGCUUUGAAAGACUCAUCUCGCAGUAAAGAAGUAUUAAGACGCCAUCUGGGGGCUUUAGUGGAAAAUGGGCGAACCUUGACUGAACAACAUAUGGGUUUGUGAUCAGACCAGGUCACCGGAAUGUAAUGCGCAUUUUGAAUAUUUUGAAAUAAAUCUUUUGAGGCAAAGAUAAAAUCUAGUCUCGAAAAGGAUUUAUGUCUCCCUGAGUAAAAAGAAUAGUCUUUUAAAGAAGGGUUUAACAAACGCCAGAUAUCGACCAUGCCCGUUUCGGAUGCCCAGUGGCGCAACGCCUCAGAUGCAAGAUGUUGGUCUUUAGUCUCGCUGCCGCCUGUUCUGUCCAUGCUGCUGUCCCACACCGCAUUGAAAUCAGCCCCAAGAACUAAGUGAAAUCCUGUAAGAUCAAGCAAGGAUUUAGUUAAUAGAUGGAAAAAGGUACGAUCAAAUACAUUAGGGGCAUAAGCAGAAAUAAGUGCAAUGUUUUUCCCAUCCAUACAGAUCCUUGCUAUAGCUAUCCGCCCUGCAUCAUCUGCCCAAGAGUCAAUCAUAUCAAAUUUUAGUUUACGUUUACACAAUACCAUUACCCCUUUAGAUUUUGUUGCUGCAGAUGAAGUUGCAAUAGAAUGAUAAAACUUAUUGGCUAAUCGACCCACAUCUUUGCCCAAUAAAUGUGAUUCCUGAAUCAUAGCAAAGUCUAUAUUUUUCUUACGAAAAAAUUCUAGUACAGUGGUUCUUUUGUGCGGAACGUUCAGACCCCUGGCGUUGACUGAAAUAAGGUUAAGAGCUGUCAUAUGCUAGAAGGCUUUGUGAAAAACAAAGAAAGAGGAAAAAAAAAAAGAAAGAGUUGUCCCAACAACAGCACGAGAGAGAACCGGAUCCAUAAAAGAGAAACACCCAAAAAAAAGAAAAAAAAAAAAAAAAAAAAAAAAAAAAAAAAAAAAAAAAAAAAAAAAAAAAAAAAACCGAAGAGGAAGGUGAGGAAGCUGAAACUGUCGAACCUUCCUGAAAAUCCACAACUGGAUAACUAACUCAGAGAACUUUCUGACCACUCAAGUGCGGCAGCAGCGCCACCCAUCAGCAAACAACUGAACAGCAGUAGUGUGAACACAUUAAAGACAUCCGCCAUCUAACAGCGGUGCUAUAUCGUUAACAGACACGAAAUCUACAGACCCCCUACCCAACAUAACCUGCACACAUGACUUAUAACUCGGGCAGACAAAGAAGGAGAGAGAGGGGAAAAAAAAAAAAAAAAAAAAAAAAAAAAAAAAAAAAAAAAAAAAAAAAAAAAAAAAAAAAAAAAAAAAAAAAAAUACUUUUCAAAAAAAAAAAAAAAAAAAAAAAAAAAAAAAAAAAAAAAAAAAAAAAAAAAAAAAAAAAAAAAAAAAAUAUAU
Carassius carassius (crucian carp) is the source of this 3516-nucleotide long non-coding RNA. RefSeq lists it as uncharacterized. Lineage: Eukaryota; Metazoa; Chordata; Actinopteri; Cypriniformes; Cyprinidae. The transcript has 2 exons. The record is from RefSeq and is a predicted model, not a curated record.